UACGUAGGGCGCAAGCGUUGUCCGGAAUUAUUGGGCGUAAAGAGCUCGUAGGCGGUUUGUCGCGUCUGCUGUGAAAACCUAAGGCUCAACCUUGGGCUUGCAGUGGGUACGGGCAGACUAGAGUGCGGUAGGGGUGACUGGAAUUCCUGGUGUAGCGGUGGAAUGCGCAGAUAUCAGGAGGAACACCGAUGGCGAAGGCAGGUCACUGGGCCGCAACUGACGCUGAGGAGCGAAAGCAUGGGGAGCGAACGGG
RNAcentral lists this ribosomal RNA (253 nucleotides) under uncultured bacterium. Its description in RNAcentral is "partial 16S ribosomal RNA". It matches the Rfam family "Bacterial small subunit ribosomal RNA", at positions 524 to 776 of the family's 1533-position model. The record is from RNAcentral.